GUAGGUGAACCUGCGGAAGGAUCAUUACAUUCAGUAGCUUGCUACUGUUAGGGGGGUCUAUUAGCCUGUAUAGUAUCACUACUGAUGAGCAGCGCGACCCUCUGUCUGUACCCUUGUCUUUUGCGCACUCAUGUUUCCUCGGCGGCUAAUCCCCGCCGGCUGGACAACACUAUAACCUUUUUAAUUUUCAAUCAGCGUCUGAAAAACUUAAUAAUUACAACUUUCAACAACGGAUCUCUUGGUUCUG
RNAcentral lists this unclassified non-coding RNA (247 nucleotides) under rhizosphere metagenome. Its description in RNAcentral is "partial ribosomal RNA internal transcribed spacer region". The record is from RNAcentral.